This 74-nucleotide small nucleolar RNA is filed under the name Stegodyphus mimosarum. Its description in RNAcentral is "Small nucleolar RNA SNORD24". It matches the Rfam family "Small nucleolar RNA SNORD24". Rfam says of the family: U24 is a member of the C/D class of snoRNA which contain the C (UGAUGA) and D (CUGA) box motifs. C/D box snoRNAs have been shown to act as methylation guides for a number of RNA targets. The record is from Rfam by way of RNAcentral. Lineage: Eukaryota; Metazoa; Arthropoda; Arachnida; Araneae; Eresidae.
AGCCUAUGAUGACUAAUUUGCUACUCUUGAUUAAUUAUGAUGAAAAUUCCUACCACCUUUUGAUUUCUGAGGCU